This 1501-nucleotide unclassified non-coding RNA is filed under the name Hevea brasiliensis (rubber tree). The record is from RNAcentral. Lineage: Eukaryota; Viridiplantae; Streptophyta; Magnoliopsida; Malpighiales; Euphorbiaceae.
ACAGUAGUUUCCCCUUACACCUCAGGUUUGGAUGAUACGAAUCAUAAGAGGAACCGGUCUGUGUUUGAAAAACAUGGUUUGCGAGUCUUUAAUGACUCUGUAGAUAGGUUGUCUCAUCAUUGUUCUUCUUCGCGGAACAUAGAUGCCCUUGAUGAUCAGAAGCUUUUGGAUUGUAGCCAAGAGUAUUCUUCUUCUAGAUCCACCUCUUUGCAUCAUACGUCUUCAGCAUUUCCUAGUUCCAAAACUGAACUUUCUCAGAUUGAUUUAUCAUGGGACACACGAUACUCAUCUGAUUAUAGAACUAUGGCGCCUUUUGACGAUUGGGAGCCAUCUGUUCCUUUUCGACCAUCAUUCUUGCUUAGUCAAAUGAUUGGAUGUCCUGAAAGUCUAUACGAUCCUAUUCGUGAUAGUAUUGAUCAAAGUAAUGUAGGAGAUGGACCCUCAAAAUUGUCUUCCUCUGCAAAAGGAGGGCCUGUAGUAACCAAGCAUAUGCAGGCAAAUGCUGAUCCAGUUUCAACAGGAACCUUGGGUCCAGAACAGAGCUCUAAUGAAGUUCCAAUUUCUGGUAAUAUCUACCAUAGGGAUAUAUUGCCUGACUACCUGUCCGAGAAAGAUAUGUCUACUAAUGAAACAGAUACAGCAGAUACAGCAGUUGCUCAUCAGGAAAUCAAUACCUCUUCAAAAGAAGAUAAGUAUUCAAGAUCUGCUAACCUCAGAGGUGCCACAAAAGCAGAUAAACAAUUAUCUACUGAACUACCGCGCACCAGGACCAGAAAAAAGACACAAUCAGAGUCUGAGAGGCUCAGACACGGAACUGAAAUUGAUAUUGACCGGAAGACAGACAGAUCUGUGAACAAAGAGUCUAGAGUUAUGAAGCAUUUUCAUGCUGCUCUUGUAGAAUUUGUUAAAGAACUAUUAAGGCCAACUUGGAGUGAAGGUCUCAUGAGUAAGGAUGCUUACAAGAUGAUAGUCAAGAAGACAAUUAAUAAAGUUGUCAACUCUUUGCACCCCAAUCAGAUUCCUGGUACAGCUGAAUCCAUCAGACAGUAUCUUGAUUUAUCUCAGCAAAAACUUGCUAAGCUCAUUGAGGCGUACGUGGAAAAAUAUGGAAAAUCGUGAUAACAUUAAAUGAGCUUUGGUCAGCAUAAGGGUGCAUGGAUAUAUAUGGAAAAUCUUGAAUCUAUUAAAUCAGUUAUGCUAAGCAUAUUGCCAACAAUAGUGAAUUGGUAAAGCCCAAUUUUGUGAGCCUAAUUUGAUACUUCUAGGGGUUAGAAUGAAGACUUCGGAACCUUUUAUUUUGUGUACGGAUUUUCUCUGUUUAGCUAGGAACUUUUCUGCUACCUUUAUGGGUUGGAGGAAUUUUUCUGUUGUGUUUACUGAUGCAGCACUUGUGUCCAUAACUGAAGUCAACUAUCGUAUUGUAACUUCUCAUUGGGGUUAUAGCAAUGGCAGUUCCUAAAUAGGUUUUGGUGAUUCAUGUUGUUAACAGUAUCGAGUGUUG